AUGGUGGAUGCACCUCUGUACAAGCAGCACCGCAGGUACACCAGGGAGCUCCACGACAUCGACCUCCACGGCAACCACAAGCUCCAAGUCAUUGUCACAAGCAAGGGUCAAGACGUGGACAAGAUGCUAUCCACGCUUAGGAGGAAGCUCGGCGGAAUGCCCGUCAAACUAGUCGAUGUUGAUGUCGAGUACACGUACGACAUGAAGCCACAGCGGGCAGCAGUGCUCCAGCUAUGCGUAGAAUAA
Molecule: ribosomal RNA, 246 nt
Filed under: Triticum aestivum (bread wheat)
Lineage: Eukaryota; Viridiplantae; Streptophyta; Magnoliopsida; Poales; Poaceae
Description: partial small subunit ribosomal RNA
Source: RNAcentral